GACGAACGCUGGCGGCGUGCCUAAUACAUGCAAGUUGAGCGCUGAAGGUUGGUACUUGUACCGACUGGAUGAGCAGCGAACGGGCGAGUAACGCGUGGGGAAUCUGCCUUUGAGCGGGGGACAACAUUUGGAAACGAAUGCUAAUACCGCAUAAAAACUUUAAACACAAGUUUUAAGUUUGAAAGAUGCAAUUGCAUCACUCAAAGAUGAUCCCGCGUUGUAUUAGCUAGUUGGUGAGGUAAAGGCUCACCAAGGCGAUGAUACAUAGCCGACCUGAGAGGGUGAUCGGCCACAUUGGGACUGAGACACGGCCCAAACUCCUACGGGAGGCAGCAGUAGGGAAUCUUCGGCAAUGGACGAAAGUCUGACCGAGCAACGCCGCGUGAGUGAAGAAGGGUUUCGGAUCGUAAAACUCUGUUGGUAGAGAAGAACGUUGGUGAGAGUGGAAAGCUCAUCAAGUGACGGUAACUACCCAGAAAGGGACGGCUAACUACGUG
RNAcentral lists this ribosomal RNA (497 nucleotides) under uncultured bacterium. RNAcentral describes it as "partial 16S ribosomal RNA". It matches the Rfam family "Bacterial small subunit ribosomal RNA", at positions 28 to 507 of the family's 1533-position model. The record is from RNAcentral.